RNAcentral lists this transfer RNA (73 nucleotides) under Felis catus (domestic cat). It matches the Rfam family "tRNA". Rfam says of the family: Transfer RNA (tRNA) molecules are approximately 80 nucleotides in length. Their secondary structure includes four short double-helical elements and three loops (D, anti-codon, and T loops). Lineage: Eukaryota; Metazoa; Chordata; Mammalia; Carnivora; Felidae. The record is from Rfam by way of RNAcentral.
ACCUCUAUGGCUCAGUCAGUAGAGCAUGUGACUCUUGAUCUCAGGAUCAUGAGUUCAAGUCCUAUGCUGGGUG